AUCCAUCUGACGAGUCUAAAAUAAGAUGAAACGCGCGUUCAGGGU
RNAcentral lists this non-coding RNA (45 nucleotides) under Schistosoma mattheei. The record is from RNAcentral. Lineage: Eukaryota; Metazoa; Platyhelminthes; Trematoda; Strigeidida; Schistosomatidae.